This 406-nucleotide ribosomal RNA is filed under the name uncultured bacterium. RNAcentral's name for it is "partial 16S ribosomal RNA". It matches the Rfam family "Bacterial small subunit ribosomal RNA", at positions 30 to 526 of the family's 1533-position model. The record is from RNAcentral.
AUUGAACGCUGGCGGCAUGCCUAACACAUGCAAGUCGAACGAGUGGCGGACGGGUGAGUAAUGUCUGGGAAACUGCCCGAUGGAGGGGGAUAACUACUGGAAACGGUAGCUAAUACCGCAUACCAUCGGAUGUGCCCAGAUGGGAUUAGCUAGUAGGGGGGGUAACGGCUCACCUAGGCGACGAUCCCUAGCUGGUCUGAGAGGAUGACCAGCCAAACUGGAACUGAGACACGGGCCAGACUCCUACGGGAGGCAGCAGUGGGGAAUAGUGCACAAUGGGCGCAAGCCUGAUGCAGCCAUGCCGCGUGUAUGAAGAAGGUCUUCGGGUUGUAAAGCACUUUCAGCGGGGAGGCGUUACCCGCAGAAGAAGCACCGGCUAACUCCGUGCCAGCAGCCGCGGUAAUAC